AAUAUUACUAACAUCCAAUACCUAUUAGCUACUAUUUAAUACCUUUGUAUAGAUAUUUUCUACCUAAUUAAUAAAUAAGAAAAUUUAUUUAAAAAAUGGCCAGUCAUUCUGAUGUCUGAAUGACCACCCACAUUUAGAAUCUCCACAAAAAAUGUCCGUAUACACAACAGGACCCUUCGUCUGAUUCGAUCGACAACCAGAGUUUCACUUUCGUAAUAUUUAGUACCUUCCGAGUAGUGUAAGAAAAAUAAUAGUACCUUUACAGUUAAACAAAAAACUUGAAUUAAUUUCCAGCAGGACCCUCCGUGGUUUGAAGGUCUUCAGACCAUUGGUGUAUAUCCCUGUAUAGCGGUGCAUUAGUACCUUCAGAUUAUCUUCGUUUUCUUUUAAAACAAAUAUUAGUUUAUAAGAAAUAAAUCUACAAAAUUUUUAUACUGCCAGCAGGACCCUUUUUUGUUUUGGUGCUUUCAGUCCAGACAUUCAUAUUUCCUAGCAGCAGUAUAUUAGUACUUUUCAAAAAAAUAUCGCUUAAUUAAAAAAAAAUGUAUUAAAAAGUAAUAAGACUGAUUCUUUAUCAGAGAAAAUAUUCUAACACUUUUAUUUAUGUGAUGCAACCAAUGAAAUAAAAAACAGUUUUCAUGUUAUAUUAGGUAGGUACGUAGUUUGAUAUCGUCAAAAAGGAAAACACAAUGAAAAUUAUAACAAAAAAUAAAUUAUAUUUACAAAAAUUUACAUUAGGAAUUA
Long non-coding RNA from Pectinophora gossypiella (pink bollworm), 744 nucleotides. RefSeq lists it as uncharacterized. The transcript is spliced from 2 exons. Lineage: Eukaryota; Metazoa; Arthropoda; Insecta; Lepidoptera; Gelechiidae. The record is from RefSeq and is a predicted model, not a curated record.